GGGGAUUUAGCUCAGCGGCAUGAGCGCCUGCCUUGCAAGCAGGCAGUCAUGAGUUCAAGCCCUG
RNAcentral lists this transfer RNA (64 nucleotides) under Cavia porcellus (domestic guinea pig). It matches the Rfam family "tRNA", at positions 1 to 62 of the family's 71-position model. Rfam says of the family: Transfer RNA (tRNA) molecules are approximately 80 nucleotides in length. Their secondary structure includes four short double-helical elements and three loops (D, anti-codon, and T loops). Lineage: Eukaryota; Metazoa; Chordata; Mammalia; Rodentia; Caviidae. The record is from Rfam by way of RNAcentral.